RNAcentral lists this ribosomal RNA (491 nucleotides) under uncultured bacterium. Its description in RNAcentral is "partial 16S ribosomal RNA". It matches the Rfam family "Bacterial small subunit ribosomal RNA", at positions 28 to 507 of the family's 1533-position model. The record is from RNAcentral.
GAUGAACGCUGGCUACAGGCUUAACACAUGCAAGUCGAGGGGAAACGACGGGGAAGCUUGCUUCCCCGGGCGUCGACCGGCGCACGGGUGAGUAACGCGUAUCCAACCUGCCUCUGACUGAGGGAUAACCCGUCGAAAGUCGGCCUAAUACCUCAUGGUAUCGUCUGCGGGCAUCCAACGACGAUUAAAGAUUUCAUCGGUCAGGGAUGGGGAUGCGUCUGAUUAGCUUGUUGGCGGGGUAACGGCCCACCAAGGCUACGAUCAGUAGGGGUUCUGAGGGGAAGGUCCCCCACAUUGGAACUGAGACACGGUCCAAACGCCUACGGGAGGAAGCAGUGAGGAAUAUUGGUCAAUGGGCGAGAGCCUGAACCAGCCAAGUAGCGUGCAGGAAGACGGCCCUAUGGGUUGUAAACUGCUUUUAUGCGGGGAUAAAGUGAGGGACGUGUCCCUCAUUGCAGGUACCGCAUGAAUAAGGACCGGCUAAUUCCGUG